AGAACUGAAACAUCACAAGGUUUUAAGUUUCAUAAGUUUCCAUGAAUUUUGUUCUUCUUAGUUUCUUUUCUCUCUCUAAGGAGAACAUAUUUCAAUUUAGCUUUUGAUAAGGGGGGUCAAAUAAUUUUUCUAAUAGAAGGAAACAUUGAAUUUUAGCAAGAAAUCAGAACACCUAAGGGGGGCAUUUGUAAGAAUAGCAAGGGGUAUAUUUUAGUGAUAAUUUUUCUUAUAUGGCUUUGCUAUUUGGCUUGUGCCUAAUAUUUCUGACAACUAAUUUUAAGAAUGCUAUGCAGGAUAGUUUAAAAGGAGCAUGCGGAA
Molecule: unclassified non-coding RNA, 318 nt
Filed under: Hevea brasiliensis (rubber tree)
Lineage: Eukaryota; Viridiplantae; Streptophyta; Magnoliopsida; Malpighiales; Euphorbiaceae
Source: RNAcentral